UACGAAGGGGGCUAGCGUUGCUCGGAAUUACUGGGCGUAAAGCGCACGUAGGCGGCUCUUUAAGUCGGGGGUGAAAUCCUGGAGCUCAACUCCAGAACUGCCUUCGAUACUGUAGAGCUUGAGUUCGGGAGAGGUGAGUGGAACUGCGAGUGUAGAGGUGAAAUUCGUAGAUAUUCGCAAGAACACCAGUGGCGAAGGCGGCUCACUGGCCCGAUACUGACACUGAGGCGCGAAAGCGUGGGGAGCAAACAGG
Molecule: ribosomal RNA, 253 nt
Filed under: uncultured bacterium
Lineage: Bacteria
Description: partial 16S ribosomal RNA
Rfam family: Bacterial small subunit ribosomal RNA
Source: RNAcentral